GCAAAGAUAUUUGAAUCUCUGCACACCUGCGUGACCCCCUGCGAUGUUUUUCUUGGAUUGGGUUUUGACAGAAGGACGACUUGCCUUUUCAACAGCGGGUAAAGGUCCUUAAUGAAAGGUGUGUUUUGUGUUCCUGCCAAGGUGCUUUACUCACAAUAGAAUGAAAUUGUUGAAAAGAAGAGGGAGUGCCUCCUCAGGGCACUUUGUAUCUAUCUAAAUGAAGAUCCAAGCAGUCUCUUCCAAGAGUAUCUGGAUUCAGAUGGCUGUGCUGCCCAGAGAGACCUUGAACAAGUUGUCUUUGGCGUCUACAGCAUUAAUGCUGAGGGAGGAGAUGCCACCACCACUCCAUUUGAUGUUGGAAAA
Long non-coding RNA from Labeo rohita (rohu), 363 nucleotides. RefSeq lists it as uncharacterized. Lineage: Eukaryota; Metazoa; Chordata; Actinopteri; Cypriniformes; Cyprinidae. The record is from RefSeq and is a predicted model, not a curated record. The transcript has 4 exons.